CUGGAAUAUAGACCAAGUUUGUUUUGUGCAGUGCAAGCAAAUAAAGGAAAACGCCAAGCAUCACUACAGACUUUUAUAUUGCUUCUCAUCCGGAUGUCCAGUCCUGGUCUAUGGGAUCACAGGAGUGCAAAAGCAUACAAUAGCACCAGCACUACCUCAAGCAAGGGGUGGUGGGAGGUAUUACACAAGACUUACAAAUUUUAGCCUGCUUGCAACAGGACACACAUAUAACUCACAUCAAUGGUAAUACGGGAGAUAGCUUAAAUUAAAAAAAAAUGGAGUGAAAAUAAGACGUAGGAUUUGUUUAGUUGCCACUUAAAGUAUAAUUUAGGAUGCUGCUAUGAAAUUACCCUCAGGGUGCUUCAUAAACAUGGUUUGCAAUUUUACUGAGCAGUGAACCUACUCUAUAUAUAUAUAUAAAGUGUACUCUCUUUUGCUAAUGUAGUCAUCAUGAAUUUAAAUUAACCAAAUGCAUGUUCUGUCAGUAAGAUGGUACAUUUGCUUACAGGAUGGAUGUUUAAAUUGCAAAGCACAUCCGAUAUUUAAUUAUUAGUACCUGUCACUCACUUGUUGGGGAUCCUGAUUGUUGUACGCACAACAUCUUUAUUCUACAAAAGAGAAUCAUACAAUUUAAAUUAUUACUUUCAUUUCUGCACUUGAGAAGGAUAAUUAUGAUAUGUUUCAAGCUUCUCUGAUGUGCCGUAAAGGUAAUUGAGAAUAUGUAUGACAGGAGACAGACUUUAGAUGUUGAACCGUCUGCCAGACUAGUAAAAUGCAAUAUUUAAGCACAGGCACAUCUGUUAAAGAUGCACAGCUCUCUGUUACAAGAUAAGCACGAAUAUUCCUGCUUCAUUUACAUUGUAACGCAAUUUGUGUAAUGCUAGAGUAGCCACAAUAUCUGUUACUAUGGAAAAAUGCCAUAUUUUUUUCGACUCAUUUGAAAAAAAUAUGGCAUUUUUCCAUAGUAACAGAUAGGGUGUAUUUAAAAUAAAAAUACAAUAAUGAAAACUUGGCUUUAAUUAUAUAUUGCUUUCAUUUAGCGAUUUUUUUUUAAUAUAUAUAUAUAUAUAUAUCACUCACAUAAAAUAAAUGAAUAUAUGUGUUGCCUAUUGUUGUCAUUUUAGGUAAAAGAGUCCAAGAAAUCCUGAAUGCAUGAUGUCACUUUAAAUAUUAAACAAAGAAAAGGAAGCCCAGCACUCCUCUUUAAAAAUCAUGGUUUUAAUAUUUUAUUGGUGGCAUCACUUUAAACACAUUGAGAAUAAGUGCUUUAUUUUUCUGCCGGUUUCCUAAACUAAACUUGUUAUACCCUGUGGAGCUGAUUUGG
This is a non-coding RNA of Pelobates cultripes (western spadefoot toad), 1324 nucleotides long. The record is from the annotation of a GenBank genome assembly. NCBI's taxonomy places the organism in Eukaryota, Metazoa, Chordata, Amphibia, Anura, Pelobatidae.